AUGUUUGAUAAUAAUAAUAAUAAUAAUAAUAAUAAUAAUAAUAAUAAUAAUAAUAAUAAUAAUAAUUUAUUUAUACCCCACCACCAUCUCCCCAUGGGGAUUCGGGGUGGCUCACAUGGGGCAAGGCCCAACUAGCACAAUUUACAAAAACAACAGCAUAAAUACAUUGAACAAUAUACAAAAAAUAAUAAUAAUAAAAGCACAGUAAGACAAUAAAACAAGUUAAUACAGCAGUAAAUCGAUUGAUGCUCAUUUGCGUUAUGGUUUUCAUCUAUGAAAUCUUGGAGGAUAUGCCACAUUGAGAAGGCUGCAUGAUCUUCAUCCCUGUUCUAAUCUAUCAGAGUAAUGUUGAGAUUGCAAAACUCAUUGAGAUUUUUGGAACACAAUUUCUGAUUAAGAUUUACAGUGUCAUUAUUUUCAGCUUGCUUGGAGCUAUAAUUAUUCCUGUCAUCCUGUAUAUGUGUGCUUUGUGUUUGAUGUGUAGUUUUGUUGUUUUGUCCUAGGCCGAAAUUUCAUUACCCUUUUAUAUAUAUAGAUUAGACAUGGCUUGUGUAGAAAGCUUGCUUGGGCACAGUUGGAGAAGUCUUCAGGUUUGUGAGCUCUUGCCAAUUUUAGAAUUCAUCAGUACUAUAAUAAACAAACCAUCUGGAGUAUACACUCCUUUCCAUGGUCUGUUGAAUGCUUACACAGUUACUGAGUGUUUUCUUCUAUUUCUGUAAAAAACAUUAGUCUUUUUUUAAAGCCAGAAACACCUGUUUCAACAUUCCUUGGAGGGGACAUUUCCUUUGCGAAUGAUGAAUGCCCACCUGUGGCAUUUACUACUGAAUCUAAACAGUCUGCUAAUGUGAAAGCGAAACAUGUUUCCUUCCUACAAGAGUUCACUUUUUCACAGAUGUUUGGGAUGCAUGCUAAAUAUCUCAGUGUGUGUAUUGGGCAGUAUUCAGAUCUACAUCCGAGGCAUAUGCAAAAAUAACAACCAAUGAAGUUUGUUAGUGGUACUUUUAGGUUGCACAUUUACUCAGAAGGAAACUCCUGUGAACACAUCAAGACUAAGUUCUAACUGAACUCAUAGAAAAUUAUCCUGUUGAUAUAACAAAUAAAUGCAUGAAGUAAAAGCUGGAAGAAUUUUAGAGGAAUCAAAAGAGGGGAACUGCAAAGGUGUUUGAGAUUAACUAGGGCAAUGUUGGGUUGCUGUGAGCUUUUUAGGCUGUAUGGCCAUGUUCCAGUAGCAUUCUCUCCUGAUGUUUCACCUGCAUCUGUGGCAAGCAUCCUCAGGUUUGUUCAGAGGCACAUGAAGUGAGUGAUGGAAUCCUGGCGACCAACAAAACAACAAAACUAAACACCCCACAACCUCGAAAAUUGACAACACGACCCCUCAUCCAUGCCUCUAGGUUGAUACAACAAAAAGAAAAGAAAAAUAAAGUCCUAAUUAGAGGAAGAGGAAUAAUUGUUUUUAUCCAAUUGCUGCCCGUUAGAAGGCUAAGCUCUGCACACUUGGUCUCCUAGCAACCCAAUCAGCCCAGGGGACAGGCAGAGUUAGGUCUCACUUAGGCCUCUUCCACACUGCCUAUAAAAUAUGGAUUAUCAGAUUUGAACUGGAUUAUAUGGCAGUGUAGACUCAAGGCCUUUCCACACAGCUAUAUAACCCAUUUAUAAUCUCAUAUUAUCUGCUUUAUGAGCUCAACCCCCAAAGUCAGACAUGACUGAACUUAAUGUCAGGAGAAAACCUUUACCCUUUACCUUAACUACCACCAAUUCCUCAAUACUUUAUUUCCCAUACCACCUUACUUCGCCACAGCAACACAUGGCCGGGCAUAGCUAGUGUGUGUGUGUGUGUGUGUGUGUGUGUGUGUGUGUGUGUGUGUGUGUGUAUAGCCCCUGGUGGCGCUGAGCUGCUGAACUUGCAGAACGAAAGGUCCCAGGUUCAAAUCCCGGGAGCAGAAUGAGCACCCGCUGUUAUCCCCAGCUCCUGCCAACCUAGCAGUUCAAAAACAUGCAAAUGUUCAAAAUACAGGAAAAGAGAUUUCACCUGACAUUAGGAAGAAUUUCUUGACUAUAAGACUAUUCAGCAGUGGAACUCACUGCCUCAGAGUAUGGUGGAGGCUUCUUCUUUGAAAGCUUGCAAAUAGAGGCUGCAUGACCAUCUGUCAAGGUGCUUUGAUUGUACCUAUCCUGCAUGGCAGUGGGUUGGAUUGGAUGGCCCAUGUAGUCUCUUCCACCUCUAUGAAUCUAUGAUUCUAUCUCACUCUUGUAUCUCUUUCUUGUAUCUUUCCUUCUCCUGUUGAGAAUAUAUGUAAUUUGCUAUGCCAAGAGCGCAGAGAGAUGGGCAGAGACCAAGAGAAAUCUUUGGGAGACAUGAUGUCAUUGUUGCAAUAUUUACAGUCUGUGUGAAUCUCUGUUUUUUUCAUCUCAGUAGUGCUUAUAGUACAACCCCUUUUUUUCCAUCAUGGCAAUAAAUGGGAUUUGGUGGGGGUUGAUCAGAGUAGCAAAAAUAUAAAAUACUAACUCCCAAGUCCUUUGUGCCAACAAUUAACUUUGUUCCGGGAAAAUCGCACUCUUAAAUACAAAUAGAUUAUUGUGAAUAAUAUCAUAAGUCUUCUAAUAUGGAAAGUGCUACAUUAAACUCUAGUCUAUUUUGGGGAAAGAAGAAGUGCUUGAUGUAAUAUUGAAGAGUGCUUGGGUCAAAAAGGCAGCACUUCCUUUCCAAAUGGCCGGUUUUUAAUGUGCAGGUUUGCAACAAUGAAACAGCUGGGUGGUUUUGAAACAAAACAAUUAUAAAACACAGUAAAAAACAAUUAUCAUUAUAAGACAAUUGAGGUGCCUUUUACAGUGCACUGUGGGAUACGCUUUGUUUGAAGAGAUAGAGUAACAUAAAAUUUUGCCUUGGAAAUGGAGUACGUUUUUGUUAGCUUCUUUUAGAAGCCUACUCUUGCUCAGCAUGAAAAAGUCAGCCCUCAAGGUCACAAUACAAGUGAUAUAUGACCACUGAGUGGAGGAAUUAAUUUUUAUCUACAAGAUGGAUGAGCAAAAAAAGAAAUAUUUCUUUGAACAGACAGGCUCUCUCUUUGCUUGCUUUCUUGUUCUGGAUUGGAUGCUUUUUAAUUGCAUCUACAAGGUUGUACUUCACUAUAAGACAUUUACAUUGUACUAAGGCACCAGGGCUACGGCUUCUUUCAUUUUCAUAGGAGAAGUGUCAUAGCUUCAGUCCACUAUAGUGAGUUGUCAAGCCUCAUAAACCUAAAGAUGUGGAACUAAAAGUAGUCAAGAACAAAGAAAAGAUACUCUGCAUGUUCGAAGAGGUUGAUAACUUGGGCGGCAUACAGGGAGCACACUAAUACUCUAUUAUGCCAGCUCCACUGCCUGCCAAUAUGUUACCGAGCCCAAUUCAAAGUGCUGGUCUUGACCUAUAAAGCCAUAAACGGUUUGUCAGGGGUGACGACGGUGGGGUGAGACCCUGGUUGCCGUGCAGAGUGGGUUCCAAAACUCAUCAUCCCUGUCUCACCUCCUUCUCCAGACUGUCUUCCCAUGCGGAGAAUCAGCACUGGUCAACAAACUCUCCAGCAGGCGAAGGGGUCAGUUAAAAACCAACUGUUGUUAAACUUUAUUUACAUAUCUAUUUACAUUUGCAUUUCCUGGCUUCAGAGCAUAGCAUUCAUAGUCCAUCUCCAGCGAAUGCUCAUGCCGAAACACACACACUAACAGACAACACUCCCUGAAUUCCACAGACCAAGAAGGAAGUCCUGGUCAAACAAACUUGACCCCAUUGGUCCUGUGAUACGUCAAUCAAAGCAGGUUCUUAUUAACUCCAUAACUACUGAAAUGCCUUGCCAAAACUAACACAGAAGGCAUUUCUAACAGCCUAGAUUGAUUUUAACAUUUCACACAAUUCACAAUACCCUGACACGGUUCUGGUCCAACUUACCUGUCCGAACGUAUCUCCUCCUAUG
This is a long non-coding RNA of Anolis carolinensis (green anole), 3947 nucleotides long. Lineage: Eukaryota; Metazoa; Chordata; Lepidosauria; Squamata; Anolidae. The record is from Ensembl.